Molecule: ribosomal RNA, 497 nt
Filed under: uncultured bacterium
Lineage: Bacteria
Description: partial 16S ribosomal RNA
Rfam family: Bacterial small subunit ribosomal RNA
Source: RNAcentral
GAUGAACGCUGGCGGCGUGCCUAAUACAUGCAAGUCGAGCGAACAGACCAGGAGCUUGCUCCUUCGACGUUAGCGGCGGACGGGUGAGUAACACGUAGGUAACCUACCUAUAAGACUGGGAUAACUUCGGGAAACCGGAGCUAAUACCGGAUAAUAUUUCGAACCGCAUGGUUCGAUAGUGAAAGAUGGCUUUGCUAUCACUUAUAGAUGGACCUGCGCCGUAUUAGCUAGUUGGUAAGGUAACGGCUUACCAAGGCAACGAUACGUAGCCGACCUGAGAGGGUGAUCGGCCACACUGGAACUGAGACACGGUCCAGACGCCUACGGGAGGCAGCAGUAGGGAAUCUUACGCAAUGGGCGAAAGCCUGACGGAGCAACGCCGCGUGAGUGAUGAAGGUCUUCGGAUCGUAAAACUCUGUUAUUAGGGAAGAACAAACGUGUAAGUAACUGUGCACGUCUUGACGGUACCUAAUCAGAAAGCCACGGCUAACUACGUG